UGGGGAAUAUUGGGCAAUGGGCGCAAGCCUGAUCCAGCCAUGCCGCGUGAGUGAUGAAGGCCUUAGGGUUGUAAAGCUCUUUCAGUAGGGAAGAUAAUGACGGUACUUACAGAAGAAGCCCCGGCUGACUUCGUGCCAGCAGCCGCGGUAAUACGAAGGGGGCUAGCGUUGUUCGGAUUUACUGGGCGUAAAGCGCACGUAGGCGGUUUGUUAAGUCAGGGGUGAAAUCCCGGAGCUCAACUCCGGAACUGCCUUAGAUACUGGCAAGUCAGAGUCCGGAAGAGAUAAGUGGAACUCCUAGUGUAGAGGUAGAAUUCGUAGAUAUUAGGAAGAACACCAGUGGCGAAGGCGGCUUACUGGUCCGGAACUGACGCUGAGGUGCGGAAGCGUGGGGAGCAAACAGGAUU
This 407-nucleotide ribosomal RNA is filed under the name uncultured bacterium. Its description in RNAcentral is "bacterial SSU rRNA". It matches the Rfam family "Bacterial small subunit ribosomal RNA", at positions 355 to 779 of the family's 1533-position model. The record is from RNAcentral.